UACGUAGGUGGCUAGCGUUGUCCGGAAUUACUGGGCGUAAAGCGUGCGCAGGCGGCCUCUUAAGUCAGAUGUGAAAUCCCCGGGCUUAACCUGGGAACUGCGUUUGAAACUGGGAGGCUUGAGUGUGGAAGAGGGGGGUGGAAUUCCAGGUGUAGCAGUGAAAUGCGUAGAGAUCUGGAGGAACACCGAUGGCGAAGGCAGCCCCCUGGGCUGACACUGACGCUCAUGCACGAAAGCGUGGGGAGCAAACAGG
RNAcentral lists this ribosomal RNA (253 nucleotides) under uncultured bacterium. Its description in RNAcentral is "partial 16S ribosomal RNA". It matches the Rfam family "Bacterial small subunit ribosomal RNA", at positions 524 to 776 of the family's 1533-position model. The record is from RNAcentral.